Molecule: long non-coding RNA, 1441 nt
Filed under: Sus scrofa (pig)
Lineage: Eukaryota; Metazoa; Chordata; Mammalia; Artiodactyla; Suidae
Description: lncRNA (ENSSSCG00040050346.1)
Source: RNAcentral
ACCCCAUCCCCUGGUCCUGCUCUGGAACCUGAAGCCUCCUACCUUGCAGUCUGGAUUCCAAGGAGGCCUCAUAAGCCCACUCCCGCCUCUGGCCCUGGGUGCCCUGGGUGCCCUGGGCUCUACACCCCGACAUCUGGCAGCCCCCACCUCACCUUUCCAGGAAGGCAGCAUCAACGUAAGGGGUGAGGGUGUAGGGAGAGGGGACAAGGAGCUCGGGGUUUGGGGGAAGCAGGAAGGCAGGGACCCCCGGCAGCCCUGGGAAGGGUGGGAGAGGGCAGGACCUGAGUUUGGAAGGAGGGGUUCUGACCCUGCCCCUUCCCUAGUCCUUCCUUACUUGGUUUCUUGUUGGGGGUGGGGGAGGGAGGCUUCUAGCCUCAGAAGGAUGCGGGUUUGAAUCCUGACCCUGCAAAAUACCAACCGGAAAGCCGCCCCAAGUCCCCUGGUGUUUCUCAACGAAGGGUGGCCCUGCCCCACCCCACGAGCAUUUGGAAAUGCCCAGGUCCAUUGCCAUGGUCAAAUGACCAGGGGACGUCACUGGCAUUCAUGGGCCAGGGGCCCAGAAGACCCCGCCGUAGGAGGGACGGCGUCUCACAAAGCAGAAUUGCCCUGCUCAUGUGCCAACAGCACCCUGGCCAAGCAAUACCCAUUUUUAACCUCCCCGAGACCGAGUUUCCUCAUUUGGGUAAAAUAGAAAUAAUUGUCAUUAUAUCUUCAUCAUAGAGCAGUUAUGAGCCUCGAUGGGAAUCCUGUACCCGAAAUGCUUGGAGGUACCUGGAAGCACAGUUGACCCUCAGGAAAGUGUGCAGUAGCACAGCUUGUGGGGGGCAGGGACACGUGAUUCUGGAAUAGGGACCUCAAUUGGCUCUGUUUCUCACCCAGAACUUGGCUUUUUUCUUCUACCAUUCAAGGCUCAGGACAGGAGUUCCCUUUGAGGCUCAGUGGGUUAAGAACCUGACAUAGUGUUCGUGAGGAUGAAGGCUCCAUCUCUGGCUUCGCUCGGUGUGUUAAGGAUCCAGUGUUGCCAUGAGCUGUGGUGUAGGUUGUAGAGGCAGCUCAGAUCCUGUGUGGCUGUGGCUGUGGUGCAGGCUGGCAGCUGUAGCUCCAACUGGACCCCCAGUCUGGGAACUUUCGUAUGCUAUGGGUGUGGCCCUAAAGAAAAAAAGAUAAGGAGUUCCCGUCCUGGCGCAGUGGUUAACGAAUCCGACUAGGAACCAUGAGGUUUCGGGUUCGGUCCCUGCGCUUGCUCAGUGGGUUAACGAUCCGGCGUUGCCGUGAGCUGUGGUGUAGGUUGCAGAUGCGGCUCGGAUCUGGUGUUGCUGUGGCUCUGGCAUAGACUGGUGGCUACAGCUCCAAUUAGACCCCUAGCCUGGGAACCUCCAUAUGCCGCGGGAGCGGCCCAAAGAAAUAGCAAAAAGACAAAAAAAGAAAAAAAAGAAAAAAA